GGAUUAGAUACCCCACUAUGCUAAGCCCUAAACUUGAAUUACACCACCCAACGCCAGGGAAUUACGAGCCAUGCUUAAAACCCAAAGGACUUGACGGUAACCCAUCCACCUAGAGGAGCCUGUUCUACAACCGAUAGUCCCCGUUUCACCUCACCCCCACUAGAUUUCUCAGCCUGUAUACCUCCGUCGCAAGCUUACUGUAUGAACACAAAAUAGUGAGCUCAAUUAACCAACCUUAAAUACGUCAGGUCAAGGUGCAGCCUAUGUAGGGGCAGCAAUGGGCUACAAUUUCUAAAUUAGAACAAACUAACAGUCACAUGAAACUGUGACCCAAAGGCGGAUUUAGUAGUAAGAGCGGAACAGAGAGCCCCUCUUAACUCGGACCUGGGCUAUGUACAAACCGCCCGUCACCCUCUUCUACACUAAACGCCCCAUAUUUAAUAUAUACUCCAACUCAAGAAGAGGCAAGUCGUAACAUGGUAAGUGUACUGGAAAGUGCACUUUGAACAA
This 510-nucleotide ribosomal RNA is filed under the name Cornufer custos. RNAcentral's name for it is "Platymantis custos partial 12S ribosomal RNA". It matches the Rfam family "Bacterial small subunit ribosomal RNA", at positions 775 to 1525 of the family's 1533-position model. Lineage: Eukaryota; Metazoa; Chordata; Amphibia; Anura; Ceratobatrachidae. The record is from RNAcentral.